Molecule: ribosomal RNA, 381 nt
Filed under: uncultured bacterium
Lineage: Bacteria
Description: bacterial SSU rRNA
Rfam family: Bacterial small subunit ribosomal RNA
Source: RNAcentral
GACGAACGCUGGCGGCGUGCUUAACACAUGCAAGUCGAACGAGAAUCUGUGGAAAGAGGAUUCGUCCAAUUGAAGCAGAGGACAGUGGCGGACGGGUGAGUAACGCGUGAGGAACCUGCCUUUCAGAGGGGGACAACAGUUGGAAACGACUGCUAAUACCGCAUAACAUAUAGAUGUCGCAUGGCAUUUAUAUCAAAGAUUUAUCGCUGAAAGAUGGCCUCGCGUCUGAUUAGCUAGUUGGUGAGGUAACGGCCCACCAAGGCGACGAUCAGUAGCCGGACUGAGAGGUUGAACGGCCACAUUGGGACUGAGAUACGGCCCAGACUCCUACGGGAGGCAGCAGUGGGGAAUAUUGGGCAAUGGGCGCAAGCCUGACCCAGC